AANGGCGAANCCUGAUGCAGCAACGCCGCGUGCGGGAUGACGGCCUUCGGGUUGUAAACCGCUUUCACCAGGGGCGAAUUUGGACGGUACCUGGGGAAGAAGCACCGGCUAACUACGUGCCAGUAGCCGCGGUGAUACGUAGGGUGCGAGCGUUGUCCGGAUUUAUUGGGCGUAAAGGGCUCGUAGGUGGUUUGUUGCGUCGGAAGUGAAAACCUGCAGCUUAACUGUGGGCGUGCUUUCGAUACGGGCAGACUUGAGGAAGGUAGGGGAGAACGGAAUUCCUGGUGGAGCGGUGGAAUGCGCAGAUAUCAGGAGGAACACCGGUGGCGAAGGCGGUUCUCUGGACCUUUCCUGACGCUGAGGAGCGAAAGCGUGGGGAGCAAACAGGCUUAGAUACCCUGGUAGUCCACGCCGUAAACGGUGGGCACUAGGUGUGGGGGACAUUCCACGUUCUCCGUGCCGUAGCUAACGCAUUAAGUGCCCCGCCUGGGGAGUACGGCCGCAAGGCUAAAACUCAAAGGAAUUGACGGGGGCCCGCACAAGCGGCGGAGCAUGCGGAUUAAUUCGAUGCAACGCGAAGAACCUUACCUGGGUUUGACAUCUGCCGGAAGCAUCCAGAGAUGGGUGUGCCUUUUUGGUCGGUUGACAGGUGGUGCAUGGCUGUCGUCAGCUCGUGUCGUGAGAUGUUGGGUUAAGUCCCGCAACGAGCGCAACCCUCGUCCUAUGUUGCCAGCACGUAAUGGUGGGAACUCAUGGGAGACUGCCGGGGUCAACUCGGAGGAAGGUGGGGAUGACGUCAAGUCAUCAUGCCCCUUAUGUCCAGGGCUUCACGCAUGCUACAAUGGCUGGUACAAAGGGUUGCGAUCCCGUGAGGGGGANCGAAUCCCGUAAAGCCAGUCUCAGUUCGA
This 908-nucleotide ribosomal RNA is filed under the name uncultured bacterium. Its description in RNAcentral is "bacterial SSU rRNA". It matches the Rfam family "Bacterial small subunit ribosomal RNA", at positions 371 to 1296 of the family's 1533-position model. The record is from RNAcentral.